Molecule: ribosomal RNA, 252 nt
Filed under: uncultured bacterium
Lineage: Bacteria
Description: partial 16S ribosomal RNA
Rfam family: Bacterial small subunit ribosomal RNA
Source: RNAcentral
ACAGAGGUGGCAAGCGUUGUUCGGAAUUACUGGGCGUAAAGGGCGCGUAGGCGGCCUUCUUAGUCGGACGUGAAAUCCCCAGGCUCAACUUGGGAACUGCGUCCGAUACUGGAUGGCUUGAGUGCGGGAGAGGGAUGUGGAAUUCCAGGUGUAGCGGUGAAAUGCGUAGAUAUCUGGAGGAACACCGGUGGCGAAGGCGGCAUCCUGGACCGACACUGACGCUGAGGCGCGAAAGCUAGGGGAGCAAACGGG